UGAGCAACCUGCCCCUGACUCUGGGAUAAGCGCUGGAAACGGCGUCUAAUACCGGAUAUGAGCUGCGAAGGCAUCUUCAGCAGUUGGAAAGAUUUUUCGGUCUGGGAUGGGCUCACGGCCUAUCAGCUUGUUGGUGAGGUAAUGGCUCACCAAGGCGUCGACGGGUAGCCGGCCUGAGAGGGUGACCGGCCACACUGGGACUGAGACACGGCCCANACUCCUACGGGAGGCAGCAGUGGGGAAUAUUGCACAAUGGGCGGAAGCCUGAUGCAGCAACGCCGCGUGAGGGAUGACGGCCUUCGGGUUGUAAACCUCUUUUAGCAGGGAAGAAGCGAAAGUGACGGUACCUGCAGAAAAAGCGCCGGCUAACUACGUGCCAGCAGCCGCGGUAAUACGUAGGGCGCAAGCGUUAUCCGGAAUUAUUGGGCGUAANGAGCUCGUAGGCGGUUUGUCGCGUCUGCUGUGAAAUCCC
This 472-nucleotide ribosomal RNA is filed under the name unidentified microorganism. RNAcentral describes it as "bacterial SSU rRNA". It matches the Rfam family "Bacterial small subunit ribosomal RNA", at positions 118 to 603 of the family's 1533-position model. The record is from RNAcentral.